UUUCGAUGGCGUGUUGAGCUGCUUACAAACGCCUCGUUACCAGCAGCGGCUGCGGGGCGUUUUUUAGUUGAACGACGAAGCGAACGAUUGGGAAGCGUGUGAAGCGAACUUGCUAGCUGCUGCUAGGCAGAAGACGAGACGAGGCCUAACUGAUGUUUUAAUUGGCCAAACGACACUCUCCAGACUCCGUAUUAAGCUGUGGGAUAUGUGACGAUUGUCUAUAGAUCAAAUUCGCAUUCUUCGUGCAUAUCGCCACCUGCUAGUCAAGGCCGGUCAUAAGUGGAGAAGGACUAUGAUAUCGUUUCAGAAGGCGUCUAAAAACUGUCAGAGACGACAUGUUAACAUUUGGGGGAAAAACAUCAGACAGCUGAAAAACUCACCUGGGAGUUCUGCGCCUCUCCUGGGACUCUCGGGUGUUCAUGAAAGAAGGC
This is a long non-coding RNA of Xyrauchen texanus (razorback sucker), 431 nucleotides long. RefSeq lists it as uncharacterized. The record is from RefSeq and is a predicted model, not a curated record. The transcript has 4 exons. Lineage: Eukaryota; Metazoa; Chordata; Actinopteri; Cypriniformes; Catostomidae.